This 192-nucleotide ribosomal RNA is filed under the name uncultured Verrucomicrobium sp. Its description in RNAcentral is "partial 16S ribosomal RNA". It matches the Rfam family "Bacterial small subunit ribosomal RNA", at positions 1358 to 1502 of the family's 1533-position model. The record is from RNAcentral. Lineage: Bacteria; Pseudomonadati; Verrucomicrobiota; Verrucomicrobiia; Verrucomicrobiales; Verrucomicrobiaceae.
UAACCGGAUUAGAUACCCGGGCCCUGUACAUACCGCCCGUCACACCCUGGGAAUUGGUUUCGCCCGAAGCAUCGGACCAAUGAUCACCCAUGACUUCGGUGUACCACUAGUGCCACAAAGGCUUUUGGUGGUCUUAUUGGCGCAUACCACGGUGGGGUCUUCGACUGGGGUGAAGUCGUAACAAGGUAACCA